GACGGAGGGUGCAAGCGUUGCUCGGAAUCACUGGGCGUAAAGGGUGCGUAGGCGGCUUGGUAGGUCUGGUGUGAAAGCCCCGGGCUCAGCCCGGGAAGGGCACUAGAAACUGCCAAGCUAGAGUGCCGGAGGGGAGAGUGGAAUUCCUGGUGUAGCGGUGAAAUGCGUAGAGAUCAGGAGGAAUACCGGUGGCGAAAGCGACUCUCUGGACGGCAACUGACGCUGAGGCACGAAAGCGUGGGGAGCAAACAGG
This 253-nucleotide ribosomal RNA is filed under the name uncultured bacterium. RNAcentral's name for it is "partial 16S ribosomal RNA". It matches the Rfam family "Bacterial small subunit ribosomal RNA", at positions 524 to 776 of the family's 1533-position model. The record is from RNAcentral.